AAUAUAAAUAUAGUACACAACGGGUAAAGACUUGAAGGGUAUCUUGAGGGUAUAGUUGUAUAGUCAUCAGUGGAGUUGUGUUUGUUACAAGAUGUUAACCAGAUUUGUUUUCUACUGUUGUCUAUUCUUACAAUUUAUAUCAUUUAAAAUCACAAUGGCUAAAGUUAGUACAGCUUGCUAUGGUUUACCAGGUUUAGGUUGUAAUGACCAUAAACUGAUCUGUCCAGAACGAUUGGUUAUAUCAAUAACUAAUAUAACGUUUGGAUAUAGACAAGGAUGUAGUGUUGUUGGUCUAUCUAACUGUGCUGAUACAACAUGUUGUAGAGCAGAGACUGGAGAUUGUUUUACACCUUACAACCCAACGCUUCUAUCAUCAGUACAACAAACAUGUAGUGGCGGAUCAACUUGUACUCUUAAUAUUAUUAAUGGUUUGGCUGAAAGCUCUUCAUAUUGUGAUCUUACUAGUACAGCUAUAUUUCCUUCUUACAGCAAGAUAGAAUAUCAGU
Patella vulgata (common limpet) is the source of this 506-nucleotide long non-coding RNA. RefSeq lists it as uncharacterized. The transcript has 3 exons. NCBI's taxonomy places the organism in Eukaryota, Metazoa, Mollusca, Gastropoda, Patellidae. The record is from RefSeq and is a predicted model, not a curated record.